AACGAACGCUGGCGGCGUGCCUAACACAUGCAAGUCGAGCGAGAAAGCCCGCAAGGGUGAGUAAAGCGGCGCACGGGUGCGUAACACGUGGGUAAUCUGCCCUGGAGUCCGGAAUAACUCGCCGAAAGGCGUGCUAAUGCCGGAUGAGACCACGGGGGCUUCGGCUCCUGCGGGAAAAGGUGGCCUCUGUACACAAGCUAUCGCUUCAGGAUGAGCCCGCGGCCCAUCAGCUCGUUGGCGGGGUAAUGGCCCACCAAGGCUACGACGGGUAGCUGGUCUGAGAGGACGAUCAGCCACACUGGAACUGAGACACGGUCCAGACUCCUACGGGAGGCAGCAGUGGGGAAUCUUGCGCAAUGGGCGAAAGCCUGACGCAGCAACGCCGCGUGUGUGAUGAAGGUCUUCGGAUCGUAAAGCACUGUCGCGAGGGACGAAUAAGGGCCGGGUUAACAUCCCGGUCCGAUGACGGUACCUCGAAAGGAAGCACCGGCUAACUCUGUGCCAGCAGCCGCGGUAAUACAGAGGGUGCAAGCGUUGUUCGGAAUUAUUGGGCGUAAAGCGCGUGUAGGCGGCUUUGUAAGUUGGGUGUGAAAGCCCUCGGCUUAACCGAGGAAGUGCGCCCAAAACUGCAUGGCUUGAGUACCGGAGAGGGUGGCGGAAUUCCCGGUGUAGAGGUGAAAUUCGUAGAUAUCGGGAGGAACACCAGCGGCGAAGGCGGCCACCUGGACGGAUACUGACGCUGAG
Molecule: ribosomal RNA, 744 nt
Filed under: uncultured bacterium
Lineage: Bacteria
Description: bacterial SSU rRNA
Rfam family: Bacterial small subunit ribosomal RNA
Source: RNAcentral